CGGGUGAGCGGCGGACGGGUGAGUAACGCGUGGGAACGUGCCCUAAGGUACGGGACAACCCGGGGAAACCCGGGCUAAUACCGAAUGUGCUUCCGGUCCUGCGGGUCCGGAAGGAAAGGAAGCUUCGGCCUCCGCAUCGGGAUGGGCCCGCGGCCCAUUAGCUUGUUGGUGGGGUAAUGGCCCACCAAGGCGACGAUGGGUAGCUGGUCUGAGAGGACGAUCAGCCACACUGGGACUGAGACACGGCCCAG
RNAcentral lists this ribosomal RNA (251 nucleotides) under uncultured bacterium. RNAcentral describes it as "partial 16S ribosomal RNA". It matches the Rfam family "Bacterial small subunit ribosomal RNA", at positions 88 to 334 of the family's 1533-position model. The record is from RNAcentral.